Molecule: ribosomal RNA, 292 nt
Filed under: uncultured Planctomycetota bacterium
Lineage: Bacteria; Pseudomonadati; Planctomycetota
Description: uncultured planctomycete partial 16S ribosomal RNA
Source: RNAcentral
GGACUACCGGGGUUUCUAAUCCCGUUUGCUCCCCUGGCUUUCGCGCCUCAGCGUCAGUAGAGGUCCAGCGCGCCGCUUUCGCCACCGGUGUUCCUAUGGAUAUCUACGCAUUUCACCGCUCCACCCACAGUUCCGCACGCCCCUACCUCCCUCGAGACAGCCAGUAUCAAAGGCACUUCCACGGUUGAGCCGUGGGCUUUCACCCCUGACUUGACUGCCCGCCUACGCGCCCUUUAAGCCCAGUGAUUCCGAAUAACGUUUGCACGGUUCGUCUUACCGCGGCUGCUGGCAC